This 1775-nucleotide unclassified non-coding RNA is filed under the name Eurytemora carolleeae. RNAcentral describes it as "zinc finger protein 141". The record is from RNAcentral. Lineage: Eukaryota; Metazoa; Arthropoda; Copepoda; Calanoida; Temoridae.
CACCUUCAUCAUAUUUUUAGGAUUGUACACUUGGAUUUUUAUCUAAAAGAGAUCUUAAAACUCAUUCUCGUCUUACUCAUGAUAUAAUUGAUACAGGUUUAAAUUUGAAAUGUAAAUCCUGUGACAAGACAUUCUCUUCUAAAAAGACUAUGUAUGCUCAUAUGCGAGGCAUUCACGGAAUCUCGAGUAAAAUGAUAAAACGCGAGAAACCAUUAUCUACCACCUGCAUUAUUUGUGGAGAAAAGAAAAAGAGUGAGCAUAACUUAACUCAACAUAUGAAAAAAUUCCACGAGGGGGCCUUCCCAGAACCCAUCAGCUGUCCCCAGUGUAGUGAUAUUAAACAGUUCAGAAACCGUAAGUACCACACCCCAUACUCCUUCGACUUGCACAUAAAGCAGAUACACAGCAAUGGGGCUGAAGGGAAGGUCGUCUGUGAAUAUUGUUGUAAAGAGUUUACAGGAAGUUUAGGGAAAGUGAAGUUUGCAUUAAAAGAACACAUUCAAGCAGUUCACAUGGGAAUAAGGAAAGCAUGUGAUGAGUGCGGGAAAACGUUCAUCAGUAAUAUUGUUCUAAAUAAACACAAGAAGCAUGUUCACAGACGAGAGGGUGCUUAUCCUUGUAAAGGGUGUGGGAAAGUUUUCCGCUACAGUCAGCAGGCCAUAGACCAUGAGUACAAAGACAGAGGAUUGACCCCGUAUACUUGUAAGUUUUGUGUGUUCAAGACAGCUGAUAACUGGGCCCUUGCAAAACAUAAAAAAUCUUGCACAAGAGACCCCUGCCUUCAGCCAUCUAUACCUAUAUCAAUCACUCAUCAUAUACCUACCAUACCUCCCAUCAACCUCACUUCAGAACAAAAAUGUAUGAUCAACAUUUAAACCAUUGUGCACUGCCUAGGUCCCGGUUUAAACCACUGUCCACUGCCGUGCAAAAGGUUAAAACCAUUCUGCACUGCCUUGUACACAAUUUUAACCACUGUGCACAGUUUUGUACACGGUUUAAACCAUUGUGUUCUGCUCUGUACAUGGAUUAAACCAUUGUUCACUGUUUUAUAAAUGGUUGAAACCAUUGUGCCAUGCUUUAUAUUCAAUAUUGUGUACAGCUGUGUAUUCAAUAUAAACCAUUUUAUAAUAUUAUCUACUGGUUUUAAAUUGUAUAAAUGUUAAACGAUUUCUCAGCUGGAAAGAUAAAUCAGAGAAUCUAUUUUUGAUGAAUUGUGUUGAACCAGAGACGUAAACGGGGGGGGGGAAAAAACCCCCCCCCCCCCGCGGGGACUGUUGCUAAUCUAAUUUGAAAGAACCUGUUUUGUUUAGCACCUUUUUCUUUUUUGUUGAUAUUUAAGUUUUAAAAAAUUAUAAGAUAUAUAAUACACGAGUAUUCUAAGGGAUAGUUCACUAGUUUUAAAAUCCUUUCCAGCACAAAAUUGGUAUUUCAGAAUCAUUUUGAAUGUGGUAAACAAUCCUUUUUAAUUCUGAAAGAACCUAAAAUAUCCCCUGCAAUAAUUUGGUUAAUUCUCUCUUCCCAGGAAACCACUGGAAAUCUACGCCGAGAAUCUUUUCAUUUUUAAAUCAUUCAUGAAGGAUUCCGCAUGUCAACUGUGUCAAAACCAAGGCAUAGGAAGCGUUUUCCAAUCAAAGCCAUUUCUCAACCUAAAGCCUGCACAUUUUAGUAAAAUAUAAAGUUGUAAUCGUUAAUUUAGUUUUUAGCUCAAUUUCUUCUUAGUUUUAGCAAAUGUGAUAAACAAUGUGUAUCUUAAUAAACAUUUUACUUUUUAUAAA